This 340-nucleotide ribosomal RNA is filed under the name uncultured bacterium. RNAcentral describes it as "partial 16S ribosomal RNA". It matches the Rfam family "Bacterial small subunit ribosomal RNA", at positions 338 to 675 of the family's 1533-position model. The record is from RNAcentral.
CCUACGGGUGGCAGCAGUGAGGAAUAUUGGUCAAUGGGCGCGAGCCUGAACCAGCCAAGUAGCGUGCAGGAUGACUGCCCUACGGGUUGUAAACUUCUUUUAUAAAGGAAUAAAGUGAGGCACGUGUGCCUUUUUGUAUGUACUUUAUGAAUAAGGAUCGGCUAACUCCGUGCCAGCAGCCGCGGUAAUACGGAGGAUCCGAGCGUUAUCCGGAUUUAUUGGGUUUAAAGGGAGCGUAGAUGGGUUGUUAAGUCAGUUGUGAAAGGUUGCGGCUCAACCCGUAAAUUGCAAUUGAUACUGGGAGGCUUGAGGACAGGUGGGGUUGGUGGGAUUUGUGGUG